RNAcentral lists this ribosomal RNA (455 nucleotides) under uncultured bacterium. RNAcentral describes it as "bacterial SSU rRNA". It matches the Rfam family "Bacterial small subunit ribosomal RNA", at positions 923 to 1379 of the family's 1533-position model. The record is from RNAcentral.
GCACAAGCGGUGGAGCAUGUGGUUUAAUUCGACGCAACGCGAAGAACCUUACCCAGGCUCGAACGGCAUCUGACAUCCUACGAAAGUAGGCUCCCGCAAGGGCAGGUGUCGAGGUGCUGCAUGGCUGUCGUCAGCUCGUGUCGUGAGAUGUUGGGUUAAGUCCCGCAACGAGCGCAACCCUUGUCUUCUGUUGCCAUCAGGUCAAGCUGGGCACUCUGAAGAGACUGCCGGUGACAAACCGGAGGAAGGUGGGGAUGACGUCAAGUCAGCAUGGCCUUUAUGUCUGGGGCCACACACGUGCUACAAUGGCAGGUACAAACCGUCGCGAGACCGCAAGGUGGAGCUAAUCGGAGAAAGCCUGUCUCAGUUCGGAUUGUAGGCUGCAACUCGCCUGCAUGAAGUUGGAAUCGCUAGUAAUCGCGGAUCAGCACGCCGCGGUGAAUACGUUCCCGGGC